UCAAAGUAAGUGCGUUAUCAGUAUUCAGGUAGCUGUUGAGCCUGGGGCGGUAGCGUGCUUUUUUCUGCUUAAC
Molecule: small RNA, 73 nt
Filed under: Escherichia coli str. K-12 substr. MG1655
Lineage: Bacteria; Pseudomonadati; Pseudomonadota; Gammaproteobacteria; Enterobacterales; Enterobacteriaceae
Description: small regulatory RNA RirA
Rfam family: JUMPstart RNA (bases 19-57)
Source: RNAcentral